RNAcentral lists this ribosomal RNA (549 nucleotides) under uncultured bacterium. Its description in RNAcentral is "bacterial SSU rRNA". It matches the Rfam family "Bacterial small subunit ribosomal RNA", at positions 356 to 896 of the family's 1533-position model. The record is from RNAcentral.
AGGGAAUCUUCCGCAAUGGGCGAAAGCCUGACGGAGCAACGCCGCGUGAGUGAUGAAGGUCUUCGGAUCGUAAAACUCUGUUAUUAGGGAAGAACAUAUGUGUAAGUAACUGUGCACAUCUUGACGGUACCUAAUCAGAAAGCCACGGCUAACUACGUGCCAGCAGCCGCGGUAAUACGUAGGUGGCAAGCGUUAUCCGGAAUUAUUGGGCGUAAAGCGCGCGUAGGCGGUUUUUUAAGUCUGAUGUGAAAGCCCACGGCUCAACCGUGGAGGGUCAUUGGAAACUGGAAAACUUGAGUGCAGAAGAGGAAAGUGGAAUUCCAUGUGUAGCGGUGAAAUGCGCAGAGAUAUGGAGGAACACCAGUGGCGAAGGCGACUUUCUGGUCUGUAACUGACGCUGAUGUGCGAAAGCGUGGGGAUCAAACAGGAUUAGAUACCCUGGUAGUCCACGCCGUAAACGAUGAGUGCUAAGUGUUAGGGGGUUUCCGCCCCUUAGUGCUGCAGCUAACGCAUUAAGCACUCCGCCUGGGGAGUACGACCGCAGGGUUG